This 696-nucleotide long non-coding RNA is filed under the name Mytilus galloprovincialis (Mediterranean mussel). The record is from RNAcentral. Lineage: Eukaryota; Metazoa; Mollusca; Bivalvia; Mytilida; Mytilidae.
CUCCCUUGGGCAACAUGUCAGCUCCCAGUGAUGGUUUGGCAGACAAAUGUUUACAGUGAAGUUUGUGACUUGAAUGAUCUAGGAGGAGCAUGUUGGCUAUUCCAUCAUUAUACAACUACAUAGAACAAAGUAUUUAAGAUAUCUGAAUGCACUAAAGACCAAAUAGCAUAACAACUGCCAAGAAAUUUGACAAUAAUGAAAAUAAUUUACCAGACAAUAAUUUAGUGAAUAAACAUGAUAAAUAUUGAUUGGAAAAAACAAGUCAAUGAACUGCAAAAGGUGUUCUUAGAUUUCAACUAGCAAAACAAAAAUAUUCUAAAUCAUUCUUAGUAAAAUAAAGUGUGCGAAUGGAACCAUCUUGAAGACAUUGCUUAUGCUUGCACUAAAAUUGAGAUUGAGAGUGUCAAAACUGUCUGGCUUUACAAGAUCUUACAACAGUCUGGCACACCAAAAAUAAAUCAAAGACACUCUCUCUACCGUUGUAUUAAAAGCAGCAUUGGAAACUAGCAUUGGUAAACAAAUAUAUUCGUACAGAUACAGACUACCAUUCAUCUCAGAAGUCUGAAAAUACUGAAAACUAUGGUGUAGUAUUUACAGCCAGACUUUUUAUUUUACAUAAAAAGAGGAGUGGUUUAUUUUCCUAUGGAUGUUAUAACAUCUUGUCUUAGACAUGUUAGAAUAUGUUUGAAGUACAGG